Potamilus streckersoni is the source of this 73-nucleotide non-coding RNA. The record is from the annotation of a GenBank genome assembly. NCBI's taxonomy places the organism in Eukaryota, Metazoa, Mollusca, Bivalvia, Unionida, Unionidae.
GUUCCGGUGGCCUAGUGGUUAGAGCGUCUGCCUCUGAUGCGAGAGGUCGUGGGUUCGAUCCCCGGUCGAGUCA